CCUACGGGGGGCAGCAGUGGGGAAUAUUGCGCAAUGGGCGAAAGCCUGACGCAGCGACGCCGCGUGAGGGAUGAAGGUCUUCGGAUCGUAAACCUCUGUCAGCAGGGAAGAACGGUCACUGUGCUAAUCAGCAGUGAAUUGACGGUACCUGCAAAGGAAGCACCGGCUAACUCCGUGCCAGCAGCCGCGGUAAUACGGAGGGUGCGAGCGUUAAUCGGAAUGACUGGGCGUAAAGCGCUCGUAGGCGGUAUGUCAAGUCAAGGGUGAAAUCCCCGCGCUCAACGUGGGAACUGCCUUUGAAACUGGCAAACUGGAGUGUAGGAGAGGAAAGUGGAAUUCCAGGUGUAGGGGUGAAAUCCGUAGAUAUCUGGAGGAACAUCAGUGGCGAAGGCGACUAUCUGGCACAUAACUGACGCUGAGGAGCGAAAGCGUGGGUAGCAAACAGGAUUAGAUACCCCAGUAGUC
This 465-nucleotide ribosomal RNA is filed under the name uncultured bacterium. Its description in RNAcentral is "partial 16S ribosomal RNA". It matches the Rfam family "Bacterial small subunit ribosomal RNA", at positions 338 to 795 of the family's 1533-position model. The record is from RNAcentral.